Molecule: unclassified non-coding RNA, 308 nt
Filed under: Hevea brasiliensis (rubber tree)
Lineage: Eukaryota; Viridiplantae; Streptophyta; Magnoliopsida; Malpighiales; Euphorbiaceae
Source: RNAcentral
UAAGGUUUACUACGCAUAUUGGGGAAAGUUCUUGGCCUAUCUUGAUAAGGUCCCAAAUUACCACCCUCAACAUCAUCAUCAUCCAUCAUCAUUGUAUGGGAGGAAUUCACCCUUCGGGUUACAGGAAAAGAGAUGUAGUCGUUGCCUUGGGACAGGUCGCCCCCUGAACUGGGUCGAUGAAUUUUGAUUGCUCUAAGUUGUCAAGUGAAAUCACUAGUGCUUCAAUUGAAGAUAUAAGAAAUCACCAAAUUUCUUCUGAUGAGCUAGAGAACCAAAAGCUAAGCCACAAAAAAUAUAGAUUUCCCACC